RNAcentral lists this ribosomal RNA (255 nucleotides) under uncultured bacterium. Its description in RNAcentral is "partial 16S ribosomal RNA". It matches the Rfam family "Bacterial small subunit ribosomal RNA", at positions 524 to 776 of the family's 1533-position model. The record is from RNAcentral.
UACGGAGGGUGCGAGCGUUGUCCGGAUUUAUUGGGUUUAAAGGGUGCGUAGGCGGCUCUAGUUAAGUCCGGGGUGAAAGCCCGUUGCUCAACAACGGAACGGCCCUGGAUACUGGCGAGCUGGAGUUUAGUGGAGGCUGGCGGAAUGGACGGAGUAGCGGUGAAAUGCAUAGAUACCGUCCAGAACCCCGAUUGCGCAGGCAGCUGGCCACGCUACAACUGACGCUGAGGCACGACAGCGUGGGGAGCGAACAGG